CAGCCGCCGCGGGAAUACGUAGGUGGCAAGCGUUGUCCGGAAUUAUUGGGCGUAAAGGGCUCGCAGGCGGUUUCUUAAGUCUGAUGUGAAAGCCCCCGGCUCAACCGGGGAGGGUCAUUGGAAACUGGGAAACUUGAGUGCAGAAGAGGAGAGUGGAAUUCCACGUGUAGCGGUGAAAUGCGUAGAGAUGUGGAGGAACACCAGUGGCGAAGGCGACUCUCUGGUCUGUAACCGACGCUGAGGAGCGAAAGCGUGGGGAGCGAACAGGAUUAGAUACCCCGGUAGUCCCUGUCUCUUAUAC
This 301-nucleotide ribosomal RNA is filed under the name uncultured bacterium. RNAcentral's name for it is "partial 16S ribosomal RNA". It matches the Rfam family "Bacterial small subunit ribosomal RNA", at positions 509 to 807 of the family's 1533-position model. The record is from RNAcentral.